RNAcentral lists this ribosomal RNA (402 nucleotides) under uncultured bacterium. Its description in RNAcentral is "bacterial SSU rRNA". It matches the Rfam family "Bacterial small subunit ribosomal RNA", at positions 355 to 774 of the family's 1533-position model. The record is from RNAcentral.
UCGGGAAUUUUGGGCAAUGGGCGAAAGCCUGACCCAGCAACGCCGCGUGAGGGAUGAAGUAUUUCGGUAUGUAAACCUCGAAAGAAUGGGAAGAAUAAAUGACGGUACCAUUUAUAAGCUCCGGCUAACUACGUGCCAGCAGCCGCGGUAAUACGUAGGGAGCAAGCGUUGUUCGGAUUUACUGGGCGUAAAGGGCGCGUAGGCGGCGCGGUAAGUCACUUGUGAAAUCUCUGAGUUUAACUCAGAACGGCCAAGUGAUACUGCUGUGCUAGAGUGCGGAAGAGGCAACCGGAAUUCUUGGUGUAGCGGUGAAAUGCGUAGAUAUCAAGAGGAACACCUGAGGCGAAGGCGGGUUGCUGGGCCGACACUGACGCUGAUGCGCGAAAGCCAGGGGAGCAAACG